RNAcentral lists this non-coding RNA (600 nucleotides) under Pongo abelii (Sumatran orangutan). The record is from RNAcentral. Lineage: Eukaryota; Metazoa; Chordata; Mammalia; Primates; Hominidae.
GCGGGGAGAAAGAGCAGGGGGGCGCCAGGCCUGCGCUUGGCACCGCCGCUACCUGGAUUCGCGGGCCCCUCACACACUCACCUGCCGGUUUUCUAAUCACAGAAUUACUGGAGCGUCAAGAAGCGCCUGCAUGCUUGGAAGGGCUUCCAGGCAGAUGAACACACCUCAGCACCGGGUGGCAGUUUCCCAGGGUGCAACCCGGACCGGCUCUGGGUCACACUGACAAGGAUAACAAGGAUUAACAAUUUCCAGAGACAGCCCGUACAUAGAGGGAAAGUUUACUGAAAAAAAUGAAGAGGGGUCAGGGCAAGGCGAGGAGCAAGAAGCAUCCCCAAGGAAACAGAGAAGACCAGUACAACUGUACCUCUUUGCCAGCUGCACCAUCCGUACCAGUCUCCUGGGGUGGGAGUGUACAGCUCAGAGACUGCCACACUGCAAGACGAAGGGGCUGGAUGGACGGAAGUAAGAGGCGGAACCCUGCACACCCUCGGCCUCAGCCCCACUGAGUCUCCAAUGGGGCCACGCUUCUGAGUGCACCUCCCCCUGUCAUCUGUAAUGUGAGGGGGAACCAGGCUUGAUAUGGCAUUCCCAAUCCAGGGC